RNAcentral lists this ribosomal RNA (484 nucleotides) under uncultured bacterium. Its description in RNAcentral is "partial 16S ribosomal RNA". It matches the Rfam family "Bacterial small subunit ribosomal RNA", at positions 30 to 507 of the family's 1533-position model. The record is from RNAcentral.
AUUGAACGCUGGCGGCAGGCCUAACACAUGCAAGUCGAGCGGAUGAAAGGAGCUUGCUCCUGGAUUCAGCGGCGGACGGGUGAGUAAUGCCUAGGAAUCUGCCUGGUAGUGGGGGAUAACGUCCGGAAACGGGCGCUAAUACCGCAUACGUCCUGAGGGAGAAAGUGGGGGAUCUUCGGACCUCACGCUAUCAGAUGAGCCUAGGUCGGAUUAGCUAGUUGGUGGGGUAAAGGCCUACCAAGGCGACGAUCCGUAACUGGUCUGAGAGGAUGAUCAGUCACACUGGACCUGAGACACGGUCCAGACUCCUACGGGAGGCAGCAGUGGGGAAUAUUGGACAAUGGGCGAAAGCCUGAUCCAGCCAUGCCGCGUGUGUGAAGAAGGUCUUCGGAUUGUAAAGCACUUUAAGUUGGGAGGAAGGGCAGUAAGUUAAUACCUUGCUGUUUUGACGUUACCAACAGAAUAAGCACCGGCUAACUUCGUG